AUUGAACGCUGGCGGCAGGCCUAACACAUGCAAGUCGAACGGUAACAGGGAUCAGCUUGCUGAUUCGCUGACGAGUGGCGGACGGGUGAGUCAUGUCUGGGAAACUGCCUGAUGGAGGGGGAUAACUACUGGAAACGGUAGCUAAUACCGCAUAACGUCGCAAGACCAAAGAGGGGGACCUUCGGGCCUCUUGCCAUCGGCUGUGCCCAGAUGGGAUUAGCUAGUAGGUGGGGUAACGGCUCACCUAGGCGACGAUCCCUAGCUGGUCUGAGAGGAUGACCAGCCACACUGGAACUGAGACACGGUCCAGACUCCUACGGGAGGCAGCAGUGGGGAAUAUUGCACAAUGGGCGCAAGCCUGAUGCAGCCAUGCCGCGUGUAUGAAGAAGGCCUUCGGGUUGUAAAGUACUUUCAGCGGGGAGGAAGGGAGUAAAGUUAAUACCUUUGCUCAUUGACGUUACCCGCAGAAGAAGCACCGGCUAACUCCGUG
This 490-nucleotide ribosomal RNA is filed under the name uncultured bacterium. Its description in RNAcentral is "partial 16S ribosomal RNA". It matches the Rfam family "Bacterial small subunit ribosomal RNA", at positions 30 to 507 of the family's 1533-position model. The record is from RNAcentral.